UGCCAGCCGCCGCGGUAAUACGGAGGGUGCAAGCGUUAAUCGGAAUUACUGGGCGUAAAGCGCGCGUAGGCGGUUGUGUAAGUCGGAUGUGAAAGCCCAGGGCUUAACCUUGGAAUUGCAUUCGAAACUGCACGGCUAGAGUAUGGGAGAGGAAAGCGGAAUUUCCGGUGUAGCGGUGAAAUGCGUAGAUAUCGGAAGGAAUAUCAGUGGCGAAGGCGGCUUCCUGGCCUAUAACUGACACUGAGGUGCGAAAGCGUGGGUAGCGAACAGGAUUAGAUA
Molecule: ribosomal RNA, 279 nt
Filed under: uncultured bacterium
Lineage: Bacteria
Description: partial 16S ribosomal RNA
Rfam family: Bacterial small subunit ribosomal RNA
Source: RNAcentral